UACAGAGGGUGCGAGCGUUAAUCGGAAUUACUGGGCGUAAAGCGUGCGUAGACGGUUUCGUAAGUCGGGUGUGAAAUCCCCGGGCUCAACCUGGGAAUUGCAUUCGAAACUGCGAGGCUAGGGUACGGAAGAGGGAAGCGGAAUUUCUGGUGUAGCGGUGAAAUGCGUAGAUAUCAGAAGGAACAUCAGUGGCGAAAGCGGCUUCCUGGUCCAGUACCGACGUUCAGGGGCGAAAGCGUGGGGAGCAAACCGG
This 253-nucleotide ribosomal RNA is filed under the name uncultured bacterium. RNAcentral describes it as "partial 16S ribosomal RNA". It matches the Rfam family "Bacterial small subunit ribosomal RNA", at positions 524 to 776 of the family's 1533-position model. The record is from RNAcentral.